Molecule: long non-coding RNA, 1999 nt
Organism: Zonotrichia albicollis (white-throated sparrow)
Lineage: Eukaryota; Metazoa; Chordata; Aves; Passeriformes; Passerellidae
Source: Ensembl
AUUUGGGAUCAUCCCAUGAGAGUGGGAUCACCACAUGGGAUCACCCCGUGGGAACCUGUAUUCUUUUGAGUGUCCCAAGUACAGCCAGCUUGGUAUGGGAUUUGGGAUCCAUGGAAUGGGAUCACCCCAUGGGAACGGGAUUUGGGAUCACCCCAUGGGAACCUGUAUUCCUUCAAGUGCCCUGAGUACGGCCAGCUGGGUACGGGAUUUGGGAUCACCCCAUGGGAAUGGGAUUUGGGAUCUAUGGAAUGGGAUUUGGGAUCUAUGGAAUGGGAUCAUCCCAUGGGAACGGGAUUUGGGAUCGAUGGAAUGGGAUCACCCCAUGGGAACCUGUAUUCCUUCGGGUGCCCCGAGUACGGCCAGCUGGGUACGGCAUUUAUGGGAUCUAUGGAAUGGGAUCAUCCCAUGGGAACGGGAUUUGGGAUCUAUGGAAUGGGAUCAUCCCAUGGGAAUGGGAUUUGGGAUCACCCCAUGGGAACCUGUAUUCCUUCGGGUGCCCUGAGUACGGCCAGCUGGGUACGGGAGUUAUGGGAUCAUCCCAUGGGAAUGGGAACGGGAUUUGGGAUCACCCCAUGGGAAUGGGAUCACCCCAUGGGAACCUGUAUUUCUUUGGGUGCCCCGAGUACGGCCAGCUGGGUACGGCAUUUAUGGGAUCGAUCCAUGGGAAUGGGAUUUGGGAUCACCCCAUGGGAACCUGUACUCCUUCGGGUGCCCCGAGUACGGCCAGCUGGGGCACAAUUCCGACGGGAAGUUCAUCGCGCGGGCGCAGCGCAUCGAGUACGACUGCGAGCUGCUGCCGCGGCGCGUGGCGCUCUUCGUGGAGCGCACCAAGGACGGGCAGGUGCUGCCCGUGCCCAACGUCGUGGUCAGGGACGUGGCCUGCGGGGCCAACCACACGGUACGGGAGGGUGGGAUUGGGAAUGUGGGAAUGGGAAUGUGGGAAUGGGAAUAUGGGAUUGGGAAUGUGGGAAUGGGAAUGUGGGAAUGGGUCAGAGACAUGGCCUGCAGGGCCAACUACACGGUACAGGAGUGUGGGAAUGUGGGAUUGGGAUAAUGGGAUUGGGAAUGUGGGAUAAUGGGACUGGGAUAACGGGAAUGGGUCAGGGACAUGGCCUGCAGGGCCAACCACACAGUACUGGAGUGUGGGAAUGUGGGAUUGGGAUAAUGGGAUUGGGUCAGGAAUGUGGCCUGCGGGGCCAACCACACAGUACAGGAAUGUGGGAAUAUGGGAUUGGGAUAAUGGCAAUGUGGGAAUGGGUCAGGCAUGUGGGACCAACCACAGGGUACAGGAAUAGGGGAAUGGGAUAAUGGGAUCAGGAUAAUGGGAAUGGGUCAGGGACGUGGCCUGUGGGGCCAGCCACACGGUACGGGAGCGUGGGAUUGGGAAUAUGGGACUGGGAAUGUGGGAUUGGGAUAAUGGGAUUGGGAAUGGGUCAGAGACAUGGCCUGCAGGGCCAACUACACGGUACAGGAGUGUGGGAAUGUGGGAUCGGGAUAAUGGGAUUGGGAAUGUGGGAUUGGGAUAAUGGGAUUGGGUCAGGAAUGUUGCCUGCGGGGCCAACCACACGGUACGGGAGUGUGGGAAUGGGAAUGUGGGAAUGGGAUAAUGGGAUCGGGAUAAUGGGAAUGGGUCAGGGACAUGGCCUGCAGGGCCAACCACACGGUACGGGAGGGUGGGAAUGUGGGAUUGGGAUAAUGGGAUCAGGAUAAUGGGAUUGGGAAUGUGGGAAUGGGAAUAUGGGAUUGGGAAUGUGGGAAUGGGUCAGGGACAUGGCCUGCUCACCAGCCACACAGUACGGGAGUGUGGGAAUGUGGGAUCGGGAUAAUGGGAUUGGGAUAACGGGAAUGGGUCAGGGACGUGGCCUGCGGGGCCAACUACACGGUACGGGAAUGUGGGAUUGGGAUAAUGGGAUUGGGAAUGUGGGAUUGGGUCAGGGAAGUGGCCUUUGGGGCCAACCACACGGUAUGGGAAUAGGGAAUAUGAGAUUGGGAUAAUGGG